UACGAAGGGGGCUAGCGUUGUUCGGAAUUACUGGGCGUAAAGCGCACGUAGGCGGGUCGUUAAGUCAGGGGUGAAAUCCCAGAGCUCAACUCCAGAACUGCCUCCGAUACUGAGAGUCUUCGAGUCCGGGAGAGGUGAGUGGAACUGCGAGUGUAGAGGUGAAAUUCGUAGAUAUUCGCAAGAACACCAGCGGCGAAGGCGGCUCACUGGCCCGGUACUGACGCUGAGGUGCGAAAGCGUGGGGAGCAAACAGG
This 254-nucleotide ribosomal RNA is filed under the name uncultured bacterium. RNAcentral's name for it is "partial 16S ribosomal RNA". It matches the Rfam family "Bacterial small subunit ribosomal RNA", at positions 524 to 776 of the family's 1533-position model. The record is from RNAcentral.